This 300-nucleotide ribosomal RNA is filed under the name Mycobacterium sp. NS-7484. RNAcentral's name for it is "partial 16S ribosomal RNA". It matches the Rfam family "Bacterial small subunit ribosomal RNA", at positions 1 to 300 of the family's 1533-position model. The record is from RNAcentral. Lineage: Bacteria; Bacillati; Actinomycetota; Actinomycetes; Mycobacteriales; Mycobacteriaceae.
GUUUUUGUUUGGAGAGUUUGAUCCUGGCUCAGGACGAACGCUGGCGGCGUGCUUAACACAUGCAAGUCGAACGGAAAGGCCCUUCGGGGUACUCGAGUGGCGAACGGGUGAGUAACACGUGGGUGAUCUGCCCUGCACUUUGGGAUAAGCCUGGGAAACUGGGUCUAAUACCGGAUAGGACCACGCGCUUCAUGGUGUGUGGUGGAAAGCUUUUGCGGUGUGGGAUGGGCCCGCGGCCUAUCAGCUUGUUGGUGGGGUAAUGGCCUACCAAGGCGACGACGGGUAGCCGGCCUGAGAGGG